CUAGUACUCCCUCCGUCUCAAAAUUUUUAUCUUAAAUUUGUCUAAAUAUAGAUGUAUCAGGUCACAUUUUAGUAUUAGAUACAUCCGUAUCUAGAUAUAAAAGACAAAAAAUUUAGGACGGAAGAAAUACAAC
Triticum urartu is the source of this 133-nucleotide non-coding RNA. Lineage: Eukaryota; Viridiplantae; Streptophyta; Magnoliopsida; Poales; Poaceae. The record is from Rfam.